AUGAAACACCUGUUCCAGUACGAUCACUGGAGUUAAGCAACGUCGAGCCAGGUCAGUACCUAGAUGGAUAUUCACUUGUGAAUGCCAGAUGCUGUA
Non-coding RNA from Acanthosepion pharaonis, 96 nucleotides. The record is from the annotation of a GenBank genome assembly. NCBI's taxonomy places the organism in Eukaryota, Metazoa, Mollusca, Cephalopoda, Sepiida, Sepiidae.